GCCCCGGUAGCUCAGUGGAUAGAGCAGCAGCCUUCUAAGCUGUUGGUCGCCGGUUCGAUUCCAGCCCGGGGCACCA
This 76-nucleotide transfer RNA is filed under the name Candidatus Peribacteraceae bacterium. Its description in RNAcentral is "tRNA-Arg". It matches the Rfam family "tRNA". From Rfam's summary of the family: Transfer RNA (tRNA) molecules are approximately 80 nucleotides in length. Their secondary structure includes four short double-helical elements and three loops (D, anti-codon, and T loops). The record is from RNAcentral. Lineage: Bacteria; Candidatus Peregrinibacteriota; Candidatus Peribacteria; Candidatus Peribacterales.